This 253-nucleotide ribosomal RNA is filed under the name uncultured bacterium. Its description in RNAcentral is "partial 16S ribosomal RNA". It matches the Rfam family "Bacterial small subunit ribosomal RNA", at positions 524 to 776 of the family's 1533-position model. The record is from RNAcentral.
UACGUAGGUGGCAAGCGUUACUCGGAAUCACUAGGCGUAAAGCGCAGGUAGGCGGUUUGGUAAGUCUGUUGUGAAAGCUCCUGGCUUAACUGGGAGAGGUCAACGGAAACUGCCAGGCUCGAGUGUGGUAGAGGUAGCUGGAAUUCCCGGUGUAGCGGUGAAAUGCGCAGAUAUCAGGAGGAACACCGGUGGCGAAGGCGCCACUCUGGGCCGGCACUGACGCUGAGGAGCGAAAGCGUGGGUAGCAAACAGG